AAUUACACUCCAUGUCUCACUUUUUCUAAAGUUAUACAUUAGUGACUCAAAAAUAAAAAAUAUGCAUAAAUCUCUCAAUUGAUUUAAAAUCUUUUCAUUUAUACCUCAUUAUAAUUUCGAUACCAUUUUACCCCUAACUUCCCAUUAACACUGUUGAUUUUUUUUCGUACCUUAAUACCCACUCACUCCUUCUUCUCCAUCUAAAUCUCAGUGAGCUUCACUUUCUUCAACCUCCAUCACCGUCGCCACCCACGGCCCACGCUCCGACGACCACCUACGAUUUCCGUUUAUGCUCUAACAACCGCCAACGCCUGCCGCAAUCCUCAACAUCGACCAACAACCUUCUGUUAUAAUCUCAGUAACCUUUUCUUUCUCGAUUAGGGCAAAUUGAAUAGAUCGAACAGAUGUACGAGAUUUAUUGAAAUUGUAAUGCUGUUAUUUACAAAACUUUACUUUGUAGGCAUGAAGAAGAGACAGUAGGAAGUGCAAAAGGGAUGCAAUAAAGAGAACUACAAUUACCAUCAAAUCAAAUAUAGAGGCAGAUUAAUUGCAACAAAGCCAAAGUGUGCAGUUUUAGAGAAGCAUCUUUAAUUUUAAAGAUGAUGGUGCUUCCUCUGUUAUUCUUUUGUUUGCUUGCAUUGCCUGUACUUCUUUUUAUUGAAUGUUUGCUGUGAAAAUUCAUAUAGUAGUUGCGACAAUGCAAUUAAAAUUCAAAUUGAUGUGUUGAACUUCUCUUGUGCUGAUAUUCUUGCAUAUAUGCUUUAAAGAAAAUAAGAUUCUCAUGUAAGCUC
This is a long non-coding RNA of Mercurialis annua (annual mercury), 791 nucleotides long. RefSeq lists it as uncharacterized. The transcript has 2 exons. The record is from RefSeq and is a predicted model, not a curated record. Lineage: Eukaryota; Viridiplantae; Streptophyta; Magnoliopsida; Malpighiales; Euphorbiaceae.